RNAcentral lists this ribosomal RNA (381 nucleotides) under uncultured bacterium. RNAcentral's name for it is "bacterial SSU rRNA". It matches the Rfam family "Bacterial small subunit ribosomal RNA", at positions 28 to 409 of the family's 1533-position model. The record is from RNAcentral.
GACGAACGCUGGCGGCGUGCUUAACACAUGCAAGUCGAGCGGUAAGGCCCUUUCGGGGGUACGACGAGCGGCGAACGGGUGAGUAACACGUGGGUGACCUGCCCUCAGCUCUGGGAUAAGCCCGGGAAACUGGGUCUAAUACCGGAUAUGACUUCAUGACGCAUGUUGUGGAGUGGAAAGCCUUGUGCGGCUGAGGAUGGGCCCGCGGCCUAUCAGCUUGUUGGUGGGGGAUGGCCUACCAAGGCGACGACGGGUAGCCGGCCUGAGAGGGCGGACCGGCCACACUGGGACUGAGAUACGGCCCAGACUCCUACGGGAGGCAGCAGUGGGGAAUCUUGCGCAAUGGGCGAAAGCCUGACGCAGCGACGCCGCGUGAGGGAU